RNAcentral lists this ribosomal RNA (39 nucleotides) under Amomum petaloideum. Its description in RNAcentral is "partial 26S ribosomal RNA". Lineage: Eukaryota; Viridiplantae; Streptophyta; Magnoliopsida; Zingiberales; Zingiberaceae. The record is from RNAcentral.
GUGGCCCCAAGUCAGGCGAGGGCCACCCGCCGAGUUUAA